UACGGGGGGGGUAAGCGUUGUUCGGAAUUACUGGGCGUAAAGGGCUCGUAGGCGGCCAACUAAGUCAUACGUGAAAUCCCUCAGCUUAACUGGGGAACUGCGUGUGAUACUGGAUGGCUUGGAUUUGGGAGAGGGAUGCGGAAUUCCAGGUGUAGCGGUGAAAUGCGUAGAUAUCGGGAGGAACACCAGUAGCGAAGGCGGCUCGCUGGGCCGUUCCUGACGCUGAGACGCGAAAGCUAGGGGAGCGAACAGG
RNAcentral lists this ribosomal RNA (253 nucleotides) under uncultured bacterium. RNAcentral describes it as "partial 16S ribosomal RNA". It matches the Rfam family "Bacterial small subunit ribosomal RNA", at positions 524 to 776 of the family's 1533-position model. The record is from RNAcentral.